CCUACGGGAGGCAGCAGUGGGGAAUAUUGGGCAAUGGGCGCAAGCCUGACCCAGCAACGCCGCGUGAAGGAAGAAGGCUUUCGGGUUGUAAACUUCUUUUCUGGGGGACGAACAAAUGACGGUACCCCAGGAAUAAGCCACGGCUAACUACGUGCCAGCAGCCGCGGUAAUACGUAGGUGGCAAGCGUUAUCCGGAUUUAUUGGGUGUAAAGGGCGUGUAGGCGGGAAUGCAAGUCAGAUGUGAAAACUAUGGGCUCAACCCAUAGCCUGCAUUUGAAACUGUAUUUCUUGAGUGCUGGAGAGGCAAUCGGAAUUCCGUGUGUAGCGGUGAAAUGCGUAGAUAUCAGGAGGAACACCGGUGGCGAAGGCGGCCUGCUGGACUGCAACUGACGUUGAGGCCCGAAAGCGUGGGGAGCAAACAGGAUUAGAUACCCCGGUAGUC
Molecule: ribosomal RNA, 442 nt
Filed under: uncultured bacterium
Lineage: Bacteria
Description: partial 16S ribosomal RNA
Rfam family: Bacterial small subunit ribosomal RNA
Source: RNAcentral